AGUGAACGCUGGCGGUAGGCCUAACACAUGCAAGUCGAACGGCAGCACAGUAAGAGCUUGCUCUUACGGGUGGCGAGUGGCGGACGGGUGAGGAAUACAUCGGAAUCUACUUUUUCGUGGGGGAUAACGUAGGGAAACUUACGCUAAUACCGCAUACGACCUACGGGUGAAAGCAUGGGAUCUUCGGACCUUUCGCGAUUGAAUGAGCCGAUGUCGGAUUAGCUAGUUGGCGGGGUAAAGGCCCACCAAGGCGACGAUCCGUAGCUGGUCUGAGAGGAUGAUCAGCCACACUGGAACUGAGAGACGGUCCAGACUCCUACGGGAGGCAGAAGUGGGGAAUAUUGGACAAUGGGCGCAAGCCUGAUCCAGCCAUACCGCGUGGGUGAAGAAGGCCUUCGGGUUGUAAAGCCCUUUUGUUGGGAAAGAAAAGCAGCAGGUUAAUACCCCGCUGUUCUGACGGUACCCAAAGAAUAAGCACCGGCUAACUUCGU
This 491-nucleotide ribosomal RNA is filed under the name uncultured bacterium. RNAcentral's name for it is "partial 16S ribosomal RNA". It matches the Rfam family "Bacterial small subunit ribosomal RNA", at positions 29 to 506 of the family's 1533-position model. The record is from RNAcentral.